GUGGAAGUGAAUUAGAAUGUGUGUAAUGGAUGUAGUGUUUGUGUGUAUUAGAUACUGUUUGUGCAGUGAAUGCAGAGUGUGUGUUUGUGUAGCGGAUGCAGUGUGUAUAGUGAACGCAGAGUGUAUUUGAGUAGUGGAUGUAGUGUGUGUACAGUGAUGUAGUGGAUGUAGUGUUUGUAUGUACUAGAUGAAAUGUGUUUAGUGGAUGCAGUGUCUGUAGUGUGUGUAUUAGACGCAGUGUCUGUGUAUAGUGAAUGCAGAGUGUUUCAAUUUGUGGUGGAUGUAGUGUGUGUACUGUGAAUACAGGAUGUUUGUGUAGUGGAUGCUGUGUGUACAGUUAAUGCAGAGUGUAUGUUAGUGUAGUGAAUGCAGAGUGUGUGUCAGUAUAGUGAAUCCAGAGUGUGUGCAUAGUUUAGUGAAUGCAGAGUGUGUGUUAGUGUGUAAUGAAUGCAGAGUGUGUGUUAGUGUGUAGUGAAUGCAGAGUGUCA
Molecule: long non-coding RNA, 488 nt
Filed under: Pelobates cultripes (western spadefoot toad)
Lineage: Eukaryota; Metazoa; Chordata; Amphibia; Anura; Pelobatidae
Source: RNAcentral